CCACUGUGAUACUCAAAUCCAAGUGCUACUUCAUGGAGAGCUUAAAGACACAUUCUGUAUGUUAUUCUUGCUCAGUGACACAGAACGUGGCCUGGAUUUCUGAGGUAAACUGAGACACCCAUCUGCCAUUCACCCAGAGGAGUGACUGUUUUUCCCUGUGGGUCAGAAUGAACAAGUCUCUGCAGAGGGAAACAGCAUCAUGGCCCAGCUCUGCCCCUUCUGGGCCUGGCUCACACCCCAGUUCUCAGACCCUUGUAAUUCCUCUUCAAGGAAUGCCUCCAUGAGGAAGCUCUGCCCACACAAACUCCAGUUAUUGGCUGUCUACCUCCUCCAGGCUGCAACAGGCCAGUGUCCUGACAUCUCUGCUGACCCUUGCCUCCCUCAAAGGAGGUCCCAGAGGACGCUGUUGAGCCCUUCCGCUGUCAGAUGCUGUCCAUGCUCACUUCUCUUCUCCGUUCUCCUCCCUACAAGAUUUAUAGCUUGCCUGCCCUGGGGUUUCAUUUUAAAUGCUAAUGAAUUAUCCCAAGGCUUCCAUUUGAUAGCAUUCUUUGUCCCUAAGCCUUCUGUCUCAAUUUUUUUAUUAAUGAGACUAAGAACCCCAAGACACAACCCUAAUUUUUCCAGUAUUAUAUGAUGGCUUUUCUGUGAUAUCUAUGGUGUCUGGUAAACACCUUGUAAUUCUUUAAUCAGAAGGGAAAACGAUCCCUUUCUUGCACUCCUAGACAGCAUCAUGGGACACAUGCAUAUACACAUAUACGCACAUGCACACACACAUACACGCAUACACAUGCACACACACACAUUUUAUUGACCUCAGAGGAUGCCCUGUAACCUUAUAGACAGUCCCUUCAUGGGUACAGGUUAGUAGAGCCAAUAUCAUUUCAAACAUCAUUUGCAAGUCACCUUGUGAUCAAACCUACAGGCUUAAAUGCCCAUGAUAGACUUUUUUCAGCUAUAUUGAGUUAGAGCUGAUGUCAGAUUUCUGUCCAGCUCUCCCAGCUCAAGGAGCCUGUUUAAAACAGAAAACAGGAUUCCCUUUGAUCAGCAGAAUGUUCUCAAGACAACUUUCUGGAACCACAGACCUAAAUCGUGCAACUUAGAUCCAAUGGCUGGCAUGAUACUAACCCACAUGCAUGGCGGGACCAUCACACACUUCACGGCCAACAUCUCUGAGGGCUUUUUUACUUAGUUACAUUUCUUGUAAGGAUGGUUAAGUCCUUGGAUAGGACAUUUGGGAAACACCAACAUGUAGAAGUUCUGAACUGGAGUUCAUAUUCCAAUGUCAGAGAAUAAUAAUGGUUGCUUUGAUGAGCAUUUGGUAAUAGUGUCAGGCUGUAUUUACAGCAAGAGAAAGUCCUGUGAUUAUUGUCAUUCUGAAAAUAGGAAGCCCAUUGAAAUCAUUGCUGGGGGGCGCGCCCCAUGCCUGCCGGUAGGAAAGGUCCCACACUCCCAGAAUGCAUGGUUUUGGAAAUGUCGUCAUCGGUGGAGAUCCACUGCAGACUCAUGAAGAACAGGUCAGCCCUUUGGUUACACACCGGACUGACAUUGUUUAAAUAGCUACUGUCUCAAAUUGUUCUCAAAAGCCAUUCUAAAGGAAGAGGCAGGAUGAGGCACUGGAGUGACACAACUGAACAAGAAAAGUCAUGUAACUAAAUAAUAAAGCAACUGUGACAAGGACUUGACAGGUCUAGGUUCGUACAGGAAGUAUGCUUGUGGUGACAGAUUGUGUACCCUAACAAAAUUUGCCUGAAGAUCAGAGAACGGAACAAGCCUCUAGAUUAAACACAGAGGCCAGGCAGUGGUGGCACACACACCUUUAAUCCUAGCACUCAGGAGGCAGAGAUCCAUCUAGAACUCUGUGAGUUCAAAGCCACCCUGAACUACAUGAGAUUGACUCAGUCUAGGAGAGGAAACAGAGCCAGGAAGAGUUGGCACACACCUUUAAUCCCAGUACUGGGAAUCACACACGCCUUUAAUCCCAGGAAGUGAUGGCUGGGCAGAGAAAGGCGUGAGGAGACAGGAACUAAAGGCUUUUCAGCAGAAGUGUCUCUUUCAGCUAGAGGCUUUUUCAUCUGGAGCCUUUCCAGUGAGGACUCAGAGAUAUUCAGUCAGAGGAUUCGUGGCGUUGGCGAGUGUUAAACAGAACCAAGCAACAGAACCAAAACCUUCAAUAGCAGAAGAAAUAGCCUGACCGCACAGCACAGACGCGCCUGUUUUGUCCAGUGCGCACAAAGAACCAGGGAAACUGCCUUUUGCAUGACAGGAUUAUCCAGGAGGGCUUGGGCUGCCUCCCUUCAGCAGUCUGGGCUUGGACAUCAAAGUUGAACCAAGCAGGGGCUGGAGAUGCGGCUCAGUUGGCAAAGUGCCUGCUGUACAAACAUGAAGACUGAGUUCUGGCCCACUUGCAUUGGUGUGCCCUCUCAUCCCCGUGCUGGGGAGCCAGAGACCCACGAGUCCCUGGGAUCCACCGACCAGCCCGUCCAGCCUACGCGGCAAGUUUCAGGCCAGCGCUUUUUUUUUCUCAAAAAACAAUAUAUAUACAGUACCCAAGGAAAGACACCCAAAGUUGACCUCUGGCUUCUGUACACACACACACACACACACACACACGCCAAACAAACAAAGAAUCCAAUAACUUUUUAAAACCCACAAAAAUGAAAUAGAGCAGGCUAGAUUUCAAUAGGAUCUUCUGAGGAAAACCUGUCAGCCAAUACAAUCUACGGCAUCAGACAGGGCCUGAAUAAUCUCCCUUCCGUGAAGAUUCAGAGUCUGGAAACAGUGACAGCAAACCACCAGGACCCCUUUGUAUAAGAAAGUGCAGACAGGGGCCAGAGAGAUGGCUCAGGAGUUAAGAGUGCUUGCUGCUCCCCCAGAGAACCCAAGUUGAGCAUUUACAUGGAGCAGUUCAUAAUCACUUAUUACUCCAGCUCCAGGGGAUCUGACAGAUUCUUCUGGCUUCUGUGGACACCCCCGUGUGUGUGGCACACACAGACAUACGAGUGAAAAUAAGUCUUUUAAGACAUUUUUCUAAAAGAAGAAAGUGCAAACAGACCACAGCUUGGGACUCCUCCAUGGGAAUAAGCCCCUAAGAGAACAAGAUCAAAUGCCACAUGUCACCCAUGUGUGCUAGGAGUCCUAAAAACUUGAAUUUCUGAGUGGAAAAAAAAAAGACUGUGUGACAAUGAGAACAUGAGAAGCAACUGUUUUCAGAGACAAGACUUAGCCUGAAUUCUGAAUGUUGCCAUCCCAAAAUGUACCUGCCUUUUUCCAUAGAGUCAUGGACACUUGCAGCUUGUUGGGAGAAGAUGGGCACGAGCAGGACCUGCCCCUCUUGAGACACUGCACUAUCCCCAGAUGGAGAAGAGUGCACAGCCAUUUUUAUUUCUCAUACUGCUGCUGUAGCUUGUCAGCACCCGCCACCCACUUAUGUCUGCUUUGCUAGAACAAUGUCCCCCUUAAAUGCAUGAAGAAGGGAAGGACCCCGUGGCUGGGAAAAGAGAUGGCCGGUGUAGAAAGACAGAAAGGCAUUAAACUAUUUGUUGGAAAGGAAGGGGUAGCACUCCUGGGAUGGACACAGGAUAAAGGUUCAGCCAGGCCUCUUGCCUGUUCCUAGCCUGGAUAGUCAGUCCUGGCUUACAAAUAGUUUUGGGGGGGGACAAGAAAAUCCCAUCUUUAACUGUCCUGGUCCUGUUGGGGAAUUAGAUAUGGUCUGGUUGUGAUGAAGGAUAGACUGUAAGUUCAUUUCUAGAAACAGGAAACCCUGGGAUAAAAAUCUCUCAGCUGCUCGAAGGGCACCGAUGUGCGUUUGUUAGUGAAGCCUGUGCCGCCCGUGUGUGAAAGUGUCCCUGCCACCCUGUGGUGACUGUGACCACCCUGCUGUCUAUCUAUCCCUCAGUCUUCGCCAGCAAAUGACAAAGAGUUUCCACGGUGGAAGACUCCAGGAGCCCUGAGGUUGUUUUCUCAGAAGCACUGAGCUAUGCUUAAUUAAUGGAAGAAGUAUAGAGAUGCCCCCACCCUGGGCCCUGGAGCACAGAGAGCGAUUCCACACUUUUCCAAAAGUACAGGAAGCAGGCAGAUCAGAGGAAUCAACUUCCUUCCCUGGGGCAGGUGAAGGAGGCUGGCAGCAGGCAGGGACUUUAAUUAACAGAAAAGGACCAGCAGGAGCCACUCACUGGCUACAGAGGAAGUCCCUCCCCUCCCUUACCCACCUGCUCCCUCCAUCACAUCCAGGGGCCAAGGCCAGGCUGGAGGGCAGAGAACGUGCAUUCUUAUUGGAUGAAUGGUUUCUAAACCUAUUUAUGCCAAUUGUACUUAAAAUCCUAAUUAUAUCAUUUAAAUAGGUUCCAUAUAAAACAGUGCAACAUUAGUGUGAAAACAAAGUUCUUAUCUUUAUUUAUUUUUUAAUGAAAAACCUUGGAAAGAUACAACAAUAUUGAAUAGAUGGAGAGAGGAGACAGAAGAUGGCUUUGCAAGUCCCUCCUGAGUGUUCUGCACUUUAAAGAUGCCACAAUUGGAAACUGUGGAUGGCAGCUUGUAGGUAAGCCUUGUGCAAGAAGGCCCCUUGAAAGUCACUUGGCAGACUCCUCCAAAGACCUUAAUCCUACACUGUGUGAUCGGCAGCUGAAAGUGUGUGUUUUCAGUAUCUGGAAAGGUAGGUGCUCCUUGCAGGUGGCCAUGGCCCCGCACAGGGGAGGGGAUGCUGCCGAGAUGGUUCAAGGAGAUUCUAAGCCCACAGCACCGCUCCACCCCUGCUCGGCUGGUCUUAAGUCCACCAGUGGUGCUGCAAACGCAGCCCUCUGCCUCUGUCUGCCCUGGGGAGCUCAGGAUACUUGUUAUAACUGACUCAAGACAGAGGAUUUGGUUUAGCUCCUGGGUUCAGACAAACGGUUUUCCAGAAGGUAACAUGAACUCCUAACAGAAACAUCAUUCCCAUCUGAGACUCAAAAAAUAUGGCCUAGUUUUCUGAACUUCUCCCAGGGUCGACCUUUUAGCUCUGCUUUCAGAGUUUCUCCAUCCUACACUCACUUCCAAACUCUUCCAAAUUCAUGUAGCAAACUAGUUCCAAAGUUAUUAUUAUUAUUAUUAUUAUUAUUAUUUUCAAGACAGGGUUUCUGUGUGGAACAGUCCUGGCUGUCCUGGAACUCACUCUGUAGACCAACUCACAGAGAAUCACCUGUCUCUGCCUCUCGAGUGCUGGGGUUAAAGGCAUGCGCCACCACCACUGCCGGCUUAGCUCCAAAGUUUUAAGAGCCACAGAACCAAGGUUAUUCACAGCAAUGACCCACUGACUCCCCAUAUCAAUCUCCUGUAUUGUGACUUUUCAGCUCUGUGACCAAAGUACCUGUCACACAAUGUAAAUAGAUGAAGGGCUUAUUUGAGCUCAUUGAUUCAAGGAUUCAAUCCGGGUUGCUUGGCUCCGUGUGCUUGGACAGAGCUUGAUGGCCAUGGACUUGUAGGAAGAGGACCUUUUCACAUUCUUGCAUUGUGUCUUAGUAUCUUGUUUGCUGUUGUGAUAAAAAUAUGUUGAGAAAAGCAACUAAGGGGAGAGAGGGUUUAUUUUACACCCCAGGUCAAGGUUAUAGUCCAUCAUGAUGAGGAAGUCUCAGAGGCAGGGGCGUGUGUUGGAUGGUCACAGUGCGCCCACAGUCAACAAGCAAAGAACAAUGAACGCGUGGUACUUAGGGCUUAGUUCCCUUUUUCUACUUACACAGUCCAGGAUUGCAGCCAGGGGUUGGGGUCACCCACUCAUGGGUGAGGAAGAUAGGGCUGUUAGCAUUCAGACCCACUUCUUGGGAUCCUGGCCAAUAAGCAGAUAACACCCUGGCCCACCCGGCGGGUCCUGAUGUCAUCUCACGUAAAGCCCGCUUUAAGAGAAAACUCCUCCUUCCCAUCCUCCUUUCCCUAUGCCCACGAGGUGUGCACCUCUGAGCCUCUCUCUCUCUGUGUCUCUCUCUUUCUCUCCGUCUCUCUCUCCCUCCCUCCCUCCCCUUCCUUCUUCCCUCCCUUUCCUCCUCCCUUCCCCCAAUAGACUUUCCGCGUGGAUGUGUGUCUACAUGGCGUGAGUAACUGUCCACUGCUCCACACCACAGCCUACCUCCUUGUCUGCAUGGCGUGUCUCCCUCACCCACCAGGGCACCUUGGCCCAACCCACCAAGGCCUCUGGCACACCGUAUCACAACAAUGAUGGUAGGCAAGGAAGACAGGCUGGAAGGGAUGGGAGGCUGGCUAGUCACGCUGCAUCUCUAGUUAGCAGAGAAUCAACAGGAAGUAGAGCCAUGAACAGGAAGGACAACACCUCAAGGUUUGUCCCCAGUGACCUCCUUCCUCAAGGAGGCUCAGUCACCUAAGGGUCCAACCUCCCCAAACAGCGCCACCCACCGGGGAUGAAAUGUUCAAAGCCAUGAGCCGACAGGGAACAUUUCACACUCAAAGUGCAACAGUCAGGAACUAGAAAGCAGGACAAGGAGGGGCCAGAGGCGACGUACUCCAAAGCCACCCUCACCUCCUCCCGGUGACCCAGUGCUAGUCUGCAGCUUCUCAAUAUAUUGUCACCAGCUGAUGACCAAGCCUAACACAAGAACUUUCAGAGGGACAUUUCUUGUCCAAACCAUAACACUGACCAUUUUCCCUCAAACUUUGGCUAUAAAAAAAAAAGAAAAAAAAAAUCAGAGCUUUCCCUGAGCCCCUGGGCUAUUUCUAACGGCUCCUGUGUCUCAUAAAACUUUGAUUAAAUAAAUUUGUCACUUUUUCCCCUUGUCAACCCGUCUUCUGUGAGAGGAGUAUCGGCCGUGAUUCUGUGAUGGCCAGGGAAGGGUUCCUCAUCUUCCCAGCCCUAAUAUUUUGAAUGCAGCCUCAGAGACAAAGCUGUGGUGUCUGCUUUUGUCUUUAUUGCUGAUUUCUUUGCUUGCAGAAAUCAGUAGCAACUUUCUGGUUGCUAAAGUACGACAUGUGAUUCCUCCAUGAUGCCAGCUUCUCUCUGGCUUAUUUUAGCUUGCUUGGUGGCAGCUUACGGCUUGGAAAGGCCACAGCUGGGAGGGAGAUCAGAGGGAGCCAUGCUGUCCAGGGAACUAGGCAGGAGGGGAGCUCAUCAGUAGAACAGAGAGCAGCCGGCAGGGGCAGGCCACAGUCAGGAAAGGAAGAAUCCCAAAGGUAUUGGGGUCAGAACAGCCAGUAUGGGCAGCACCCCUUCAGUACAGGAACCUGACAUACUGGUUUCCCCAGCUUCUGCCUGGCUCCUGUGUCACCUCUAAAUGUCACCUUUAAACCAGGGCCAACAUCAGCUAAAUGCUCUUCAGGGAACCCUCAGGACACUGGAAAAGAAAAGGCUUUCACAAUCUGGGCAUGCCCAUGCAGCCCUUAGCAGGGCUGGUGACUUCCCCUGAACAAAGCCUCAAGCAAAGGGCUUUGCCUUCACGGACUCCUCUGCAGAAUGAAGGUAACUGCAUUGAGUAGCCUGGCAGGGACCUUUAGUCACAGGACUGAUGUUCCUGAGCAACAAAGCACUCCCUAAACAAUGUGCCUCCGAAAUGCAUAUCACUGCGCUGGCCAGAUAAGCACAGGAAAAGCUUUGAAACCAUCUCCCCGUGGACCUCGGUAAGAAGCCCUCGAUUGGUCAUGGAAGAUUUGGAUUGAAAAGCAAUUGCCUGCCCCCAGGGUGUCGUGUUUCAAUAGGAAAACCAGUGUAGGGGUAGCCUGGCCCAGCAGAGCCUUGCAAAGCUAAACACACCUGGAGCUGCAAAGCAAAGGAACAUUUUGCCUCCAGAUAAACACAUCAUCCCCCAGACUUCAGUAGCCCCUGAAAAGAAAGACAGGAAGGCAAAACCACCUUCACCAGGGGACCCCCAACUAUUGCACCUCUGAGCCUCAGUGGUCUAAACCCAGUAAAUACAAGACUUCCCCUUUAUAAAGCCUUAGGCAUUUCUCUCAUUCACUGCUCACUUUCUCCUCCUGACAAUGGGAGCAAAGUAGAUUAUCAAAAGGUGUUUUAGGUGUUGUGACCUCCAGAAAACCAGAAAUACAGAAAUCCACACUAGCUAGGCUUUACCAUGUGUACAGACACCACAACUAACAAGACCAAAAAGAUGGCCCAAUGUGAUGUAGCCUGCUCUGCUCACACACACUUCACCAUGACAGGCUGAGGCCUCUGAAACAGUGAGCCAAAGACAUCCUCUCCUCUCUUGCUUCUGUCGGACAUUCGGUCAUGGUAACGAAGGCAAUUAAUGCUGCUAAAAACUUAGUUCUGAUUAUUUUCUUGAUUUUUACGGCCAUUGUUAUUUUUGUGCCUGAGUGUGUACGUGCAGGUAUGUGUGUAUGAGUUGAAUGCAUGUUCAUAUGUGUUGAGAAGGGUGUGCAUAGGUGUUUGUGUAUGCACAGGGAAACCAUUCAUAUGUGUGUGUGUGUGUACACAGAGGCCAGAAGUCAACUUCGGUUCAGUCUGUAGCAGGAAUCUUAAAAGUUCUUAUUAAUAAAAUCAAACCUGAAGCCAGUUAUUGGGGUGAAUGCUGGAAGAUCAGAGAAGCAGAACAAGCCACAGCUACCUCACCUCGCCAAUUCCUCAGCUGGUCUUGUUUCCUCAGACUAGAGGCCUCUGAGUCCUCAUCCAAAUGGGUCUCAGCUGAACUGCUGCUCAAAAGCCUGAAUGCUUAACCAGCUAAAAGCUUAACCAGGCCAAAUGCUUCUAGUUUCUAAUCUCCACGCCUUAUAUAUCUUUCUGUUUUUGCCAUCACUCCCUGGGAUUAAAGGCUCACUCCCUGGGACUAAAGGCAUGUGUCACCAUGCCUGGCUGUUUCCAAUGUGGCCUUGAAUUCACAGAGAUCCAGAGGGAUUUCUGCCUCUGGAAUGCUAGGAUUAAAGGUGUGAGUGCCACCAUUUUCUAGCCUCUGUAUCUAGUGGCUGUUCUGUUCUCUGACCCCAGAUAAGUUUAUUAGGGUGCACAAUAUUUUUGGGAACACAAUACCACCACAUCAGUCCUUGUUUUGUUUUGUUUUUGUUUUUGUUUUUGUUUUUGUUUUAAGACAGGGUCUCUCGCUGCCCCGAGGCUCGCCAUCCCCAUUGCUGGGAUUACAAGCUUACACUGCCAUGCCCAGCCUUCCACGUGGGUGCUGGGAGUUGAACCCAAGUCCUCACGCUUACCCAGCAAGCACUCUACCCUCCCAAGCCAUCUCUCCAGCCCAUGCUGUUGCUGGUACUGUGUCAGUGGAUGAGGAGACGCAGCCUCCCAGCAGCAGAGACAGAACAAGAGCAGAGACUCCAACCCAGGCCUCUUCUUCCCUGAGUGCUGAGUCUAAAUCCACCUGUUUCAUACACAGUCCUGUUUUUAAGCAGGCAGACAUUGCAUUAAACUUUUAGUCAGUUCUGGAAAGUUAUGUGCAAUAAUGUUCAUUCUCUCUCUCUCUCUCUCUCUCUCUCUCUCUCUCUCUCUCUCUCUCACUCGCUAUAAAGGCAUGCAAAGCUGGCCUCCUGAGAAGCUGUUAAGCAUUUGGCAAACUCUGCUACUAUUCCAGAGAGAACACUGAGUAACACAAGGGUUCCACUUAAAGCCUACCCAGCUGAGGCCAGCAGGGACCCAGAGUGACUAUGACACUACUCAUCUUCCCCUGGGGACAUGUGUUCAAAUACAGGAGCAGGGUCAGUCCUCCGACAGCACAGACACAGUGACUGGAUGUUAUGCUGAGCACAGGGCACAGGAUCUGUAAUGUAAUGGCUCUGGUCCUAUACAGGGGCAGGAGGCCCCAUGGAUUGGCUGGGGUCCUCUCCCUACCCACCCUCCCAUCUCACUGAGUCUUGGCAAAGACAAAGGAAGGGGUGCAAUGAGAUUUGAAAGUCAAGGUGAGACAGAAAAAGCAGCUACAGCCAACCUCUUCCCUGGGACCGACAGACUACUUGGACACCUCAGAGGAAAGGCAUGUAGCCAGGGAGUGCCUUUGGACUUAGGGUAGGAGAGGAUGAAAAGCUGGGAAAGGGAGGGGCGGGGGAGCCUUGUCUACCUGUCAGGGUCAGCCUCCAGUUUAAGAAUUAGGUAAAAUCACGUUCUAACAGAAAUGCACACAUCAGGCCAAACAACAGGACUGUCUGUGCUUUGUUUUGCUCUGAUUUCAUGAAAACAGGAACCACAAAUCUGUUUUGGUGAAAAUGACAACAUGUAUACAUUAAAAUACAUUAGAAUGUUUGAAUUUGUAAAUGAUAUAUUGUAAUUUAAAGGCUCUAGAGAUACAAUGAAAUAUAUGAUACAUAACAUAAGUCUACAUAACAACCUAUGUUAUAUAUGAUACGUAGUGUAUACUAUAUAUAAUUCUAUAUUAACUUGCGUAUUCUAGAAUGAAUUAGAAUAAUGUGGCCAUCUAAACUAGGAUUAAAAAGAAAGCCAAUGUUCCGAGCAUUUCUCUUUGCUCGUCUAUGUUCUAAGCUUCAAAAAGUUAUAUACUAUUUUGUUACCAUAUUCAAGAGUUAUAUAAAAUUUGGGAACUUUGUGAGGGUCUAUGGCAACCCCCUGCCCAGUUCUGUUUGUUCUUAUUCCCAAAUUCCACACAACAGACC
Long non-coding RNA from Peromyscus californicus insignis, 10536 nucleotides. RefSeq lists it as uncharacterized. The record is from RefSeq and is a predicted model, not a curated record. Lineage: Eukaryota; Metazoa; Chordata; Mammalia; Rodentia; Cricetidae. The transcript is spliced from 4 exons.